This 253-nucleotide ribosomal RNA is filed under the name uncultured prokaryote. RNAcentral describes it as "partial 16S ribosomal RNA". It matches the Rfam family "Bacterial small subunit ribosomal RNA", at positions 524 to 776 of the family's 1533-position model. The record is from RNAcentral.
GACAGAGGGGGCAAGCGUUGCUCGGAAUUACUGGGCGUAAAGGGCGCGUAGGCGGGAUGGCAAGUCGGUCGUGAAAUCCCUCGGCUUAACCGGGGAACUGCGUCUGAUACUGGAUGGCUUGGAUUUGGGAGAGGGAUGCGGAAUUCCAGGUGUAGCGGUGAAAUGCGUAGAUAUCUGGAGGAACACCGGUGGCGAAGGCGGCAUCCUGGACCAACAUUGACGCUGAGGAGCGAAAGCCAGGGGAGCAAACGGG